Long non-coding RNA from Marmota monax (woodchuck), 768 nucleotides. RefSeq lists it as uncharacterized. The transcript has 2 exons. The record is from RefSeq and is a predicted model, not a curated record. Lineage: Eukaryota; Metazoa; Chordata; Mammalia; Rodentia; Sciuridae.
UAUAAAAACUCCCUCUUGCCAGGCCCCCCUCUCUCUUGCUAUCUCUCUUGCUUUCUCUCUCUCCUGUGUGUGCUUCCUCUCUCUCUCUCUCUCUCUCUCUCUCUCUCUCUCCUUCUUUCUUUUCUCUUUGUUGCACUGCUGCAGUAAAGCUCUCUUGGUUGCUCUGAGUGUUGUGGUCACUUUUCUUUCACACACAAUGGAAUACUACUCAGCCUUAAAGAAGAAAGAAAUUAUGGCAUUUGCAGAGCCUCCAGAAGGAACCAAUCCUGCUGGCACCUUGAUCUGAGACUUCUAGCUUCCAGAAUGAUGAGAACGUAAAAUUUUAAUCAUUUUUGGCUGCCAAGUUUUUGGUGUGAAAGUUGUCAGAAUCAAAAUGGAGUCACUUGUGUCAAAUCCUAACAAGAAUAAAUAAGUAAAGCUGGGAAGUCACAAAGGAGGGGAUCUCACGUCUGAUUACAAGAAGUAGCACAGGAGAUUUGCUGACCAUGACCUUGCCUCAAGACCACAGCAACCUCACACAAGAAAUACACCUGUGAGGACCUCUGCCCAGCAGCAGCCUGCCCAACCUUGGACGAACGCCACCCUCAUUAUUGAUCCUUGUAACCAAAGAUGGUGGUUUCAAAACAAUUUAUGCAAUCCUCCUCCCUUUACCUCUAAAAAUCUUUGUCUUUAAAAACUUUUGCCUUCUGAAUACACCCAAAGUUUACUAUGGCAUGCAUAGUACACAUGUCCUGCUCUUUCUGGAAUAAACUCAUUAUUUUUGGAGAA